Molecule: ribosomal RNA, 486 nt
Filed under: uncultured bacterium
Lineage: Bacteria
Description: partial 16S ribosomal RNA
Rfam family: Bacterial small subunit ribosomal RNA
Source: RNAcentral
AUUGAACGCUGGCGGCAUGCCUUACACAUGCAAGUCGAACGGCAGCACGGGUGCUUGCACCUGGUGGCGAGUGGCGAACGGGUGAGUAAUACAUCGGAACAUGUCCUGUAGUGGGGGAUAGCCCGGCGAAAGCCGGAUUAAUACCGCAUACGAUCUACGGAUGAAAGCGGGGGACCUUCGGGCCUCGCGCUAUAGGGUUGGCCGAUGGCUGAUUAGCUAGUUGGUGGGGUAAAGGCCUACCAAGGCGACGAUCAGUAGCUGGUCUGAGAGGACGACCAGCGACACUGGGACUGAGACACGGCCCAGACUCCUACGGGAGGCAGCAGUGGGGAAUUUUGGACAAUGGGCGAAAGCCUGAUCCAGCAAUGCCGCGUGUGUGAAGAAGGCCUUCGGGUUGUAAAGCACUUUUGUCCGGAAAGAAAGCCUUGGCCCUAAUACGGUCGGGGGAUGACGGUACCGGAAGAAUAAGCACCGGCUAACUACGUG